Molecule: ribosomal RNA, 253 nt
Filed under: uncultured bacterium
Lineage: Bacteria
Description: partial 16S ribosomal RNA
Rfam family: Bacterial small subunit ribosomal RNA
Source: RNAcentral
UACGUAGGGUCCGAGCGUUGUCCGGAAUUAUUGGGCGUAAAGGGCUCGUAGGCGGUCUGUUGCGUCGGGAGUGAAAACUUACAGCUUAACUGUGAGCGUGCUUCCGAUACGGGCAGACUUGAGGCAUUCAGGGGAGAACGGAAUUCCUGGUGUAGCGGUGAAAUGCGCAGAGAUCAGGAAGAACACCGGUGGCGAAAGCGCUCUGCUAGGCCGCAACUGACACUCAUGGACGAAAGCUAGGGGAGCGAAUGGG